RNAcentral lists this ribosomal RNA (241 nucleotides) under uncultured bacterium. RNAcentral's name for it is "partial 16S ribosomal RNA". It matches the Rfam family "Bacterial small subunit ribosomal RNA", at positions 29 to 250 of the family's 1533-position model. The record is from RNAcentral.
AACGAACGCUGGCGGCGUGCCUAACACAUGCAAGUCGAGCGGGAAAGUUCCCUUCGGGGAGCGAGUACAGCGGCGAACGGGUGAGUAACACGUAGGUAACCUACCCUUGAGACUGGGAUAACCUGCCGAAAGGCGGGCUAAUACUGGAUAAGACCGUGAGGGCUGCGGCCCUUGGGGUAAAAGGUAGGCCUCUGCUUGCAAGCUACCACUUGAGGAUGGGCCUGCGCGCCAUUAGCUAGUU